RNAcentral lists this long non-coding RNA (414 nucleotides) under Gossypium barbadense (sea-island cotton). Its description in RNAcentral is "long non-coding RNA (GBAR_LNC016049)". The record is from RNAcentral. Lineage: Eukaryota; Viridiplantae; Streptophyta; Magnoliopsida; Malvales; Malvaceae.
CUUUUCCCAUUAGCUGGAUAUCUAUCUUCAUUAACCUUGCUGUUAUCCUUCGGGGAAGAAUUAAUAUAAGUGCCAGAAUUUUGUCCAGAAUCCUUGGGCUUUCCAAAAGUUUCACCAUGUUUCCUGUGGUGAAAAUCAGAAGGUACAGCAUUUUUACCUCCACUAUUUUUAGUAUUUGUUGAUAACUUCUUUUCCUUCAUUACACCAUCCUCAUUUUGGGUGUCCCUAGUAGGGUUUUCUUUUUGAAUGAUAUAACCUUCAUGCACAUUCUUCUCAGCAAACUUACUACCAUGUCCCGAGCUCUCAGUAUGUUUCAAAGGCCUUUCAGCCGUAUUAACAGCUUUACCCCGAGCACCUUGAUCAGAUGAUCUACGACCUGAUUGAUGAAAAUCUGUACUAGAUUUUUGGGGAAAC